RNAcentral lists this ribosomal RNA (440 nucleotides) under uncultured bacterium. RNAcentral's name for it is "partial 16S ribosomal RNA". It matches the Rfam family "Bacterial small subunit ribosomal RNA", at positions 338 to 795 of the family's 1533-position model. The record is from RNAcentral.
CCUACGGGUGGCAGCAGUGGGGAAUAUUGCACAAUGGGGGAAACCCUGAUGCAGCGACGCCGCGUGAAGGAAGAAGUAUUUCGGUACGUAAACUUCUAUCAGCAGGGAAGAAAAUGACGGUAACUGACUAAGAAGCCCCGGCCAACUACGAGCACGCAGCCGCGGGAAAACGUAGGGGGCAAGCGUUAUCCGGAUUUACUGGGUGUAAAGGGAGCGGAGGCGGUUUAGCAAGUAAGAAGUGAAAGCCCGGGGCUCAACUCCAGGACUGCUUUUGAAACUGUUGAACUAGAUUGCAGGAGAGGUAAGUGGAAUUCCUAGUGGAGCGGUGAAAUGCGUAGAUAUUAGGAGGAACACCAGUGGCGAAGGCGGCUUACUGGACUGUAAAUGACGCUGAGGCUCGAAAGCGUGGGGAGCGAACAGGAUUAGAUACCCGAGUAGUC